RNAcentral lists this long non-coding RNA (202 nucleotides) under Elaeis guineensis (African oil palm). RNAcentral's name for it is "long non-coding RNA (EGUI_LNC018160)". Lineage: Eukaryota; Viridiplantae; Streptophyta; Magnoliopsida; Arecales; Arecaceae. The record is from RNAcentral.
GGGCUGCUUAACUAUGGUUAUUAUUUUCUAAUCUAAAAAAAAUAUAAUAUAUCUUAAAAUUAUUGAUUUUAUCUUUAUUGGCUAUUCUCUUAAUAGUAAUAACUAUUAUUUUUUUGUUAUUCAUUUUAAUUUCAAUGAUAUAUCUAUUAGUACCAUUAUUGAAUCUAAAGAUACAAGCUUCUUUGAAAAUGUAUUUCCUUUC